UUCUGUGGCCAAAUCACCCUGAACAUGCCUGAUCUCAUCAGAUCUCAAAAGGUAAGCAGAGUCAGGCCUCGUUAGUACUUGGAUGGAAAAAUUUAAUUUGAUUCAAGAU
Molecule: ribosomal RNA, 109 nt
Filed under: Castor canadensis (American beaver)
Lineage: Eukaryota; Metazoa; Chordata; Mammalia; Rodentia; Castoridae
Source: RNAcentral